UGCUGAUCUGAGGCUGUGUGACAGUGCUGUCUUGGCUGCCCUGGAGCCUGUUGGGGUCUGCUCCUUGCCCUGUUGGGAGGUGGCACAGCUAGGUGGGACCAGGGAGCACCUGCUGUCCUCUACCUCAGCUCUCAGAGGAAAGGAGUCUGAGCCAUAAACUGACAAACAUUGCUGAGACAUAGGACCACCUGCUGGAGUUGCUUUUCAGUGGAGGGGUGCAGGAUGAGGAAGGCUAUCCAAGCAGCCAUUCGCCAAAUGCUGAGCUAACUCUGGGGCUUCUCAUCCCAGACAAGGGUGGACUGAGUGGCUCUAGCCCAUCAGCUGUCAUGAAGAUUAUAUGAGAUAAUGCAUGUGGAGCAUCUGGUACGUAAUAAACACUCAUUAGAUUGGCUCCUUCUGUUCUGUGGUCUUCCCUGGAAGCUUGAUUUUUAUGAAGCUGGUAGAAGCCCUGGGUGCAUGAAGACAUUCACAGUUGGUGGAAAUCAGAUGAAGUUCUGCACAGCUUUGCUGAGAAAACUCAUUUCUGUUUCCUCUGGGUUACAUUCUUGUCGCCCGCUUUACCACAAGCUGGUGAAACAGCGGCAGAGAGAAUCGAUUGGCUACCAAUGUGAUGUUACUGAACACGGAAGUGGGAAGAGAUGUGCAGUAUCAUGCCAUUUAAAAAUAUUCCCAGCACAGAGUUACCAUAGAUGUAAAUGACCUGAAGAGCACAGUUGGGGAUACAAGGCACAGGAAGGAUAAGAGAAUCACCAAAGAUCAUGCAGAUAAAUGCAAUCUCAGAGUAAGUGGAAGAAAAGCCUGCUGAACAUUUUCUCCAUGACCUGCAGCCUGAGCAUGGAGUUGGGAAUCAUUCGGCUGAAGUAUCCCACUCUUUUUUCUGGAAGUCCUAUUUCCUGGGCCCUUGUACUUAGUUUUGUUUGGAUCUUCUUGAGCUGUAACAGCUAAACCUGCAGUUGCUGUGGGUAAGGUGGAGAAUAAAACACCCAAGUCCUGUCUUCAUGGAGCAGCAUAUUGAGUGGCUUCCCUUUUUACAUAGGAGGGCCAGGGACUUCUCUGAUAAGUAGGAAAGCAUUGGAGUAUUACGAGCAAAGAACUGGCCUGAUCCGACUUCAUAUUUCAAGAAAUUCACUGACUGGUCUGCAGAGAAGAGGCUGUGGGACUGGAAUCGUGGAGGCAAGGAGGCCAUUAGACAGCUCGUGUAACAAUCCACUUGAGAGGCAGUGGUGGCCUGGGAUAGGCUUAUGGUGGAGGUGAGGGCAAAAGGACUUUGGAUCAUGUUUAUAGUUACACAGGAGAGAAAGGGAAGAGUCAAUGAUGACUCCCAGGUUUUCAGCCUGAGAAAUUGCAAGAACUGGCUGAAUGAAUUCGCCCUUCAUCUCUGAGUGAGGAAUAUUCUAGGAAGUGUGUUUGGUGUGUGUGUGUGUGUGUGUGUGUGUGUGUGUGUGUGUGUGUGUGUGCGUGCGUGCAUGUUUGUAUAUCGCAGCAGAGAAUUGUAAAAUGAAAGUAAGAGAUGUAUUUUGUGUAUUUUAAAUUUGAGCUACCUCCAAGUAAGGAUUUUAAGCAAGUGGCUAGAUAUGAAUGUGACACGUUUAGAAGAAAGGUUGGGGCUGGAGUUUUCAGUGGGUGAUCUUAAAAGGCCCGAGGCUAAAUGAGAUUACUUAGCUAGAUAGAUAAAUUCAUAAAAAAGGGGUCAGAGCACUGAAUCCUGGAGCACUCCUACACACCAUUUAGAGCUUGGGGAAAGAGAGGGAAGCAGCAAAGAAGAGCAGUUGCUUAAAAGCAGUUUUGGUGGCUGUGUGGCAGCAGCUACAUAAACACUGGGUUUCUAUAUUAGAGAUCUGCUUCCAAAGUGGGGGGCCACCAGGGAAUAUUUAUGCUUGUGUGUGGCCACUACUCAGGAUCACUGCCAAAAAAGACUCCUUUCUUAUCAUUAAAAAAUCUGCAGAAGAUUGGUCAGUUACUGCUAAGAUGGAAAAUUAGCUUGAAUUUAAUUAGUUUCAAUUAGGGAAAUUUGCUUAAAUGAAAAGAAAGCAGAGAUUGUAUAUAUUCCAUAAUAUAAGCAUAUCUAUAAUAUGAUAGAAACAAGAAACUCUUGAUACUAUGGAUAUACAAAACAUCAGCCUGUGCAUUUAUAAACCCACACAGCAUGUGGUAUAUAAAUUCAGGUAUCAGAAUGCACAUUAACAAAGUCAUCUAUACAAUACAUGAAAACAAAAUUUGGGCUUUGGAACUCUUUUUCUCUCUGAUUGCAAUUGGUGUUUAGUUUUUUAGGUAACCCCAGAGGAAGCUUGUUUAAUGCAUGAUGUAUUUCAGGUGUGGAUCUAAUUGUUCAGUUUUGAAUUUUCAACCAUGUGGUUAAAAGUUUUCUUCAGUUGCAUUUUUAGACAACAGCAACUGCCUCUCUGGUUGACAACAAACACCGUAAGUAUAAUAAGGAUGAGAUAUUAAUAGAUUAAAAAAAAACAUUCUCCCUCUAUCUUGUGGACCUCUGCACAGCCCUGUCCCUAAUUGGGCCACCUAGAAGUGGGGAAGGGAAUGCAGAGCCAGAGAAUGAAGGCAUCAAAUUCUUGGUUAAGUAUGAAAAGUGUUGAUCUUAGUAUAUAAGAAAAAUAAUUUCAAAAGAAUAAAGGUAGAGAAAAAGCUUCUUUGGGCCACAUCAUAGAAGAGUGAAUUGGAGAGGAAAUGGGAGGCUGGGACACUGAUGGGCUGUUGAGAAGGGGUCCUAACCUGCAAUUUACCCCAUUAUUUCCAAAGAUCUGUGUGGGGUAAAAUAUUGUGACUUCUCCAAACAUCACAUGUACUCACACCCCACCUGCUAAGUCUUAGAAGGAGCUCAUUGUUUCCUUUUAGUUUCAGAGGUGGGGCUCGGAGACAGGUCUGCACCAAUGGGAUCACCAGGGAUGUCCAGUGGGCAAUGGUGCUAGGGACUGGGGACCUUGGGGGAGGAGACACAGUGGCUUUGAGCCUUCUCCUCUGCAGAGUGGCAUCUUUAGGAUGAAUGCUCUGUUUCCCUUCCAUGUGUCAGGGUGGCAAGAUGGGCUGAGGCUGCCCGUGUUUGGGAGAGGCUGCCAUCCUUGGCAGGCCUAACAAGAUGUGUUGAGCCUCUUUUUAGAUGUCUCCAUCUCCAUCCUUUCAUACUUCUUGAGGAGCCUCCUUUGUGCCCGCAGAUGUAUGUUUGCUAUCUGCUUCUUUGUGCUCCAACACUACCUCUAUUAAGCAUUUCCCUUACUGCACUAUCUACUUGUCUGUCUGCCCUAUUGGGUUGUGAGUCUUUUGAGUAUAAAAACCAAAUUAUGAUGAUUUUUAUAUUCUCCAAGAUCCAGGGUAGUGCCUGGGUCAUGGUAGGCAAGCAGUAACGAUUUGUUAUGUUAUAAAGGAAAACAAACACGUUCAUUGUCUAUGUCUUGACUGUUCUCUUACCUGGUGUGGGUAACUGGGUUAGGUAGAGUAGAGUGACUUGGCCUAAACUUAACGAUGUUAAACAAUAACUAACCACCUGCAGUGUUAUCUCGUCUUUAUUUCCUUUCCUUCAGAUAACAGAUUGAAGCCUAUUUUCUCUGGAAAGCCCUUGCUGAUUAUCCAUCUUACAAUCUGCUAGCCAGUUUCCUUUCUAAGACGUUUCCUGUUACCAUUUUGACUGUAGCCAUAAAUACGGGUUCCUAGAUUUUAUUUCUCUUUUUUGCCACAUUGUGUUCUUAGAAAUCAUGUCUUCCAUAAAACGGAACAUUUUCUUCUCUAGGACAAUAUUGUAAUUAAAAGCUGACCAAGGACUCAGUAUCAGAUAAAAUAUACUCAGGAUCAAUAGCAUGUCAAAAAGACAAAAGCUACAGCUGCAAUCCUCUAAAAUAAUUUAACAGAGUAAAAUCAUGCCCCAAGUGCUAUGAAAGCGUCAUAACUGUAUACAGUUUAUUGAUUAUAUAAGGAUACUUGGAAUUAUGUAAAAACAUAAAAUUAAACCCUACUCUGUCAUAUUUGCCUAAAAUUAAUAUACACACUAAAACAAAUAUUUUCAACACAUUAAUGAGCAGCAAUUUAUUCUGCUUUUAAGUUAUAAAUGGAAUAAUGGAGGACAAGAUGGUUUAGACCUCUUCUAUAAAAGUCAGUCCAAGCACAAUAUCCACCAUAUCAUAGAUAAGUUUCACAAAUGCCUAGGGUACCUAACUGGUUUUCUUGGUUUCACUGGAGAUGGCUGGUAAUUGUAGGUC
This is a non-coding RNA of Manis javanica (Malayan pangolin), 4205 nucleotides long. NCBI's taxonomy places the organism in Eukaryota, Metazoa, Chordata, Mammalia, Pholidota, Manidae. The record is from RefSeq and is a predicted model, not a curated record.